UGGGCGAAUGUAAAACUUUCA
RNAcentral lists this non-coding RNA (21 nucleotides) under Caenorhabditis elegans. The record is from RNAcentral. Lineage: Eukaryota; Metazoa; Nematoda; Chromadorea; Rhabditida; Rhabditidae.